Molecule: long non-coding RNA, 213 nt
Filed under: Vigna radiata
Lineage: Eukaryota; Viridiplantae; Streptophyta; Magnoliopsida; Fabales; Fabaceae
Description: long non-coding RNA (VRAD_LNC003358)
Source: RNAcentral
GAUAUUCUAUAUUUUAGUGAGGUAAUUUAUCUAUAUUGUGAGCGAAAAAUUUAUUAGGUAAGCCACCGCAUAUUAUGGCUAUUUCAGAUAAUUGAGUAUUUAUGCCCCACAUUGAUCUUUAUCAAAAGGAAAGAUACAUGGUGUGAUGUAUGGAACACUGAUUUCCUUAAUCGGAGUUGAUAAAUGAAAAAGUUUUUAAAAAUCUUGGUCCCC